RNAcentral lists this small nuclear RNA (345 nucleotides) under Mustela putorius furo (domestic ferret). RNAcentral's name for it is "7SK RNA". It matches the Rfam family "7SK RNA". Rfam says of the family: 7SK was discovered as an abundant small nuclear RNA in the mid-70s but a possible function has only recently been suggested. Two independent studies have found that 7SK RNA binds the CDK9/cyclin T complex (known as elongation factor P-TEFb). P-TEFb activates transcription by phosphorylating the C-terminal domain of RNA polymerase II. Lineage: Eukaryota; Metazoa; Chordata; Mammalia; Carnivora; Mustelidae. The record is from Rfam by way of RNAcentral.
GGAUGUGAGGGCGAUCUGGCUGAGACAUCUGUCACGCCAUUGAUCACCAGGGUUGAUUCGGCUGAUCUGGCUGGCUAGGCGGGUGUCCCCUUCCUCCCUCACCGCUCCAUGUGCGUCCCUCCCGAAGCUGCGCGCUCGGUCGAAGAGGACGACCUUCCCCGAUAGAGGAGAGGACCGAUCUCCAGUCAAGGGUAUACAAGUAGCUGCGCUCCCCUGCUAGAACCUCCAAACAAGCUCUCAAGAUUUGCUUUGUUACAUGUGGUUGACUUCAGGAAGUUUGAAAGUCAAUUGCAUUUCUGUAUAACACUAAAAAUUAUAUAAAAAUGAUAUCAUUAUAGUACAUUU